RNAcentral lists this ribosomal RNA (1484 nucleotides) under Salmonella enterica. RNAcentral describes it as "bacterial SSU rRNA". It matches the Rfam family "Bacterial small subunit ribosomal RNA". RNAcentral also lists the same sequence under 1 other name. The record is from RNAcentral. Lineage: Bacteria; Pseudomonadati; Pseudomonadota; Gammaproteobacteria; Enterobacterales; Enterobacteriaceae.
CAAGUCGAACGGUAACAGGAAGCAGCUUGCUGCUUUGCUGACGAGUGGCGGACGGGUGAGUAAUGUCUGGGAAACUGCCUGAUGGAGGGGGAUAACUACUGGAAACGGUGGCUAAUACCGCAUAACGUCGCAAGACCAAAGAGGGGGACCUUCGGGCCUCUUGCCAUCAGAUGUGCCCAGAUGGGAUUAGCUUGUUGGUGAGGUAACGGCUCACCAAGGCGACGAUCCCUAGCUGGUCUGAGAGGAUGACCAGCCACACUGGAACUGAGACACGGUCCAGACUCCUACGGGAGGCAGCAGUGGGGAAUAUUGCACAAUGGGCGCAAGCCUGAUGCAGCCAUGCCGCGUGUAUGAAGAAGGCCUUCGGGUUGUAAAGUACUUUCAGCGGGGAGGAAGGUGUUGUGGUUAAUAACCGCAGCAAUUGACGUUACCCGCAGAAGAAGCACCGGCUAACUCCGUGCCAGCAGCCGCGGUAAUACGGAGGGUGCAAGCGUUAAUCGGAAUUACUGGGCGUAAAGCGCACGCAGGCGGUCUGUCAAGUCGGAUGUGAAAUCCCCGGGCUCAACCUGGGAACUGCAUUCGAAACUGGCAGGCUUGAGUCUUGUAGAGGGGGGUAGAAUUCCAGGUGUAGCGGUGAAAUGCGUAGAGAUCUGGAGGAAUACCGGUGGCGAAGGCGGCCCCCUGGACAAAGACUGACGCUCAGGUGCGAAAGCGUGGGGAGCAAACAGGAUUAGAUACCCUGGUAGUCCACGCCGUAAACGAUGUCUACUUGGAGGUUGUGCCCUUGAGGCGUGGCUUCCGGAGCUAACGCGUUAAGUAGACCGCCUGGGGAGUACGGCCGCAAGGUUAAAACUCAAAUGAAUUGACGGGGGCCCGCACAAGCGGUGGAGCAUGUGGUUUAAUUCGAUGCAACGCGAAGAACCUUACCUGGUCUUGACAUCCACAGAACUUUCCAGAGAUGGAUUGGUGCCUUCGGGAACUGUGAGACAGGUGCUGCAUGGCUGUCGUCAGCUCGUGUUGUGAAAUGUUGGGUUAAGUCCCGCAACGAGCGCAACCCUUAUCCUUUGUUGCCAGCGAUUAGGUCGGGAACUCAAAGGAGACUGCCAGUGAUAAACUGGAGGAAGGUGGGGAUGACGUCAAGUCAUCAUGGCCCUUACGACCAGGGCUACACACGUGCUACAAUGGCGCAUACAAAGAGAAGCGACCUCGCGAGAGCAAGCGGACCUCAUAAAGUGCGUCGUAGUCCGGAUUGGAGUCUGCAACUCGACUCCAUGAAGUCGGAAUCGCUAGUAAUCGUGGAUCAGAAUGCCACGGUGAAUACGUUCCCGGGCCUUGUACACACCGCCCGUCACACCAUGGGAGUGGGUUGCAAAAGAAGUAGGUAGCUUAACCUUCGGGAGGGCGCUUACCACUUUGUGAUUCAUGACUGGGGUGAAGUCGUAACAAGGUAACCGUAGGGGAACCUGCGGUUGGAUCACCUCCUU